Molecule: long non-coding RNA, 1037 nt
Filed under: Cricetulus griseus (Chinese hamster)
Lineage: Eukaryota; Metazoa; Chordata; Mammalia; Rodentia; Cricetidae
Description: lncRNA (ENSCGRG00000024951.1)
Source: RNAcentral
ACUCAAGAUGAAGGUCCUCAUUCUACAACAAGUCCUUAUCACUCAGCUACAUGCAAGUAGUCGUCACUUCCCAGGAGACUGGCUCAGUUUCUUGUUGUAUCUGCUGGUGAGAAACCCCAAUGCAGGGAUUAGCAGACAAAGCGAGACACAAGUGAUAUGUUCAAGACUUGUCAAGAGCAUAUAAUUGACAGGAAAAGUGGCUCCUGGGAUGAGAGCCAGCCAGAUCCUCUGGGAGCAGUGCCAUUGGCCAGGCUGGCACACAGGAACACAUGCUCCAGUCUCUCUGGACUUGACAGCUGCUUCAGCCUUUGACAUGACCUUUUGGGAUCCUUACUAACCUGCUCCAGGCAGUUGUCUUCCAUGAAUUCUUAUGAUACGGAUUUCCACACAAGGCUCCUUAUCUUUCCAUGUGCAGGCUUCUUAUCCAGAAGAAGACACAGUCUGGGAACUCCUGGAAGCAACUGCUUGGAGUUCAUAUAUAUUCCUAAUGCUUUUAAGUGUCGUCCACCACCAGGAGGAAUUUGCUUGACUUUUACUGCAAAAGCAAGCAAGACACAAGAGGACAGCAAGCAUGAGUCCUCCGUCAUGGAAUUAUCUUCCAACUAAGGCUUCAAUUGGGUCCUUCAGUUUUCUAGUACAGGGGGGAGAAUGGAUCAUACAUCUAUCCAAGUAGGAAGGUCCAGCUCUGUUCUAACCCAGUGGAUAUCCUGCCACUUCAGAUUUAAAUUCUCAGCUGGGCUCAGUGUGCUAUUAUCAAGCCUGAGUAUACGAAUUAGCAACAGGAAGAAAACAAUCUGGAAAUUGAACCCAUCCAAAUCAGCACAGGCUCACCCUGCCCUUCUGGUGCAGCCCAAAUCUCUCAUCUCUGCCCACAGGCACUGUUGCAGAACCAUCCCCCACCCCCCCACACACACACCCUGCUGCCACAGCCAUCCUGCCUCAGGCCCUGGAUCUGAAGGGGCCUCACACACAGCUCAUCACCUCUGAAGCACCGUGAGCAAAGUAGCCAGGCGAGAACUCCCAGCAGCUAGCUGCGG